Molecule: long non-coding RNA, 234 nt
Filed under: Pan troglodytes (chimpanzee)
Lineage: Eukaryota; Metazoa; Chordata; Mammalia; Primates; Hominidae
Description: long non-coding RNA NONPTRT012731
Source: RNAcentral
AAAAAGAAAAGCUGUAGAGAAAACUGUUAUUUAAUUAUCCUAAGUAUUUUGUAUAAUGCCUAGAACAUAUUUAUAAUUUUGCUCCAAUAAAAAUGUAUAAAAUGAAUGAAUUAAUUAAUAAUCAAUUUAGUCAAAAUAGUUGUAUCUGUCAGUACUAUUUAGCACUAGUUAGCACUUGUUGGUUGCAAGUGAGAAAAAUCUGACUCAAAAUUAUUUCAUUGAAAAUGAGUAAUU